GUCUACGGCCAUGCCACCUUGAACAAGCCCGAUCCCAUCUGAUCUUGGAAGCUAAGCAGGAUCGGUCUUGGUUAGUACUUGGAUGGAAGACCACUUAGGAAUACGAAGUGCUGUAUGUA
Molecule: ribosomal RNA, 119 nt
Filed under: Pteropus alecto (black flying fox)
Lineage: Eukaryota; Metazoa; Chordata; Mammalia; Chiroptera; Pteropodidae
Source: RNAcentral